Canis lupus familiaris (dog) is the source of this 802-nucleotide long non-coding RNA. RefSeq lists it as uncharacterized. The transcript has 3 exons. NCBI's taxonomy places the organism in Eukaryota, Metazoa, Chordata, Mammalia, Carnivora, Canidae. The record is from RefSeq and is a predicted model, not a curated record.
GUGGCUGUUAGUCUGGGUGAGUUUAGAUAGGAAUGUGUCAUUCAUACAAUGCAGACAGGGAAGGGCUUUGAAGUGUAUGAAACUGGUUUCUGUCCGGUGCUAUUUAAGGAAGCACAGUGCAGGCCUUUUUUACUCAGAGCCAAGGUGGAGAGUCUUUCCCAAGGUGAUCUAAUUCCCAGGGUUGGGUGGCGUGCAGCGCUGGCCAGUCUCCUUGCAUUUGGCCUGACAUUGCCCUCGGCUGAGCCCAGCUGCUGCACGCUUGGGAGCAGAGUGUCGGCUGCCCUGGAAGGAAGCUGUUUCUCUGGUACCUAACACAGUCUCUGGAGCAUAAGAGGCACCAACAAGUAUUUGUUAAAUGACCAAAUCCAUUUAUCUCUUUGAUAUUCUGUUCAUCCGGACACCUGGGUUUGUCUCCUCUAAGACAACUUCUGCUGAGUAACUUCUGAAGAGGAAGAGAUGGAGGUUUAUGGAAAGUCAGCAAUUUGCCUGAAACCACAUGGCUGGGAAGUGGUAGGCCUGGGCCUUUAUGAGAUACCAGUGCUGCCUUCAGCAGCCGGCUGCCCACCCUCUGUUUCCUCUUUCACCCUCUGUCGGGCUAGCUGCUUUCCAGAAGAUCCAAGCUGUUUGACCCGUCAGCAUCUCACGGAAGUCCCAUCAGAGAAUAGACUAGCGUGCGGAUGAUGGCGAACUUGUGUGUUUGUUUAAUCGGCCUUGGUUUGAGGUUGCUACCAUUAUGAGCUCUAAAAAGCAGAGUGAUUUCAUCAUGACACUCGUAGGCUGAAAGCAUACGUAUGGAAGAAGA